This is a long non-coding RNA of Meriones unguiculatus (Mongolian gerbil), 1127 nucleotides long. RefSeq lists it as uncharacterized. The record is from RefSeq and is a predicted model, not a curated record. NCBI's taxonomy places the organism in Eukaryota, Metazoa, Chordata, Mammalia, Rodentia, Muridae. The transcript is spliced from 2 exons.
CCAUCCCUCAGAGCUCACAGACCGGACACCAUCACCACCGGGCUGCGAGCAGUCACUUCUCUUUUCUAGCGGAUGUUUCACUAUGAGCAAAGUGAUCUCUUUGCUUUCACUAGUCCAGAAUGCAAGUCUCUCACCACCUCUCACCACCGUCUCCCUUUGUGGAUGGAUGUCCCUGCCUCCCACGGAAAAAAAAAAAAAAAAAAAAAAAAAGGGAAAUGAGAGAUGGACUGAGGUUGAAUCCACUUGUCUCAAAAUCCUGGAUUGGGCAAUCAGCCCUGACCCAUUGGGAGAACCUCCGGUGUACUGUGAAGAGGAGCCCUAUCAAGUGGCCCCGCAGUUUGUAUUAUCCUGACUUAUUCUGUCAAGAUGGACUUCCAUGCAGCAAAACAAUUUCUGCCUUCAAGGAUCCAUACAGCGAGCCGAUUGAAGAUAGUAUUUAUACCACAAGGAGAUUCAGGCAACUAAGAAAUGGCAGAGCUGCCCACUCUCCAUCUUCUAGAACUUUCUGUGGCUAGCAAGGUGGCUCAGUUGCUGGAGUGCUUGUCUAGUGUUCUUGCAGCCCUGAGUUCAGCCCCCUCUACCACAUAAACCAGGUGUGGUGUCUGCUGCCUGUAAUCCCAGAAUUUGUGAGGUAGAGGCAGGAGGAUCGGAAGUUCAAAGCCACCCUUAGUCAGAUAAUGAGAAUGCUUUCUUCUGCCGGGCACAUUACAAGGAAAAAAAAACCAAGUAACUCUUCAACCAGCGGCAACAGGAAGUGAACCACAAAGCAACUGAAGGUAUCCAGGAGUGAUUCUGAAAAUAGCUUUAUAGCCACUCUUUCUCACAAAAGCAUGUGUUCUGUCAUGAUGGAGUCAGUGAUGUGAAGAGGUUGUUCUGUGGACACCCUGAGCCUGAUGGACAGCCUUUAUGUGGUAGCAAAUGAAGCACAAAUCCUUCCCUUGCUGAACGUCUGUAUGAUGCUGGCUGUCACACAUGCCUUUCCGACAGGACUGUUAAAGAUCAAGCACUAAAAGAUGUGAGUAGACUUUGCAAACAUUGAAGAACCUGUGCAAAUGAUAUACUACUUUUUGUUCUUCUACAAUAAGAUUUUAGAAUGAACUGAUAGAAUAAAAAUGCUAUGAACCCGA